UACGAAAGGAGCAAGUGUUAUUCAGAUUAACUGGGCGUAAAGGGCACGUAGGUGGUUUGUUUAUGUGUAUUAUUAAAAUUUAUAAAAGCAUAACUUUAUAAAUGUAGUAUAAAACAGCAAAACUAAGAGUUAGGUAGAGAGUAGUAGAAUUUUCUAAUGUAAAGGUGAAAAUUUUGAUAAAUUAGAGAGAAUAACCAAUGGCGUAAGCAACUACUUGGACCUUUAGCUGACACUGAGGUGCGAAGGUAUGGGAGCAAAUAGGGAUUUUGAGAUAACCCUUGGUACGU
This 287-nucleotide ribosomal RNA is filed under the name uncultured bacterium. RNAcentral's name for it is "partial 16S ribosomal RNA". It matches the Rfam family "Bacterial small subunit ribosomal RNA", at positions 524 to 798 of the family's 1533-position model. The record is from RNAcentral.